Molecule: ribosomal RNA, 216 nt
Filed under: uncultured bacterium
Lineage: Bacteria
Description: partial 16S ribosomal RNA
Rfam family: Bacterial small subunit ribosomal RNA
Source: RNAcentral
UGGGAACGUGCCCAAAGGUACGGAACAACUCCGGGAAACUUGAGCUAAUACCGGAUAAGCCCUUCGGGGGAAAGAUUUAUCGCCAUUAGAGCGGCCCGCGUCUGAUUAGCUAGUUGGUGAGGUAAAGGCUCACCAAGGCUUCGAUCAGUAGCUGGUCUGAGAGGAUGAUCAGCCACACUGGGACUGAGACACGGCCCAGACUCCUACGGGAGGCAG